This 444-nucleotide ribosomal RNA is filed under the name uncultured bacterium. RNAcentral's name for it is "partial 16S ribosomal RNA". It matches the Rfam family "Bacterial small subunit ribosomal RNA", at positions 339 to 795 of the family's 1533-position model. The record is from RNAcentral.
CUACGGGUGGCUGCAGUGGGGAAUAUUGCGCAAUGGGCGAAAGCCUGACGCAGCAACGCCGCGUGAGGGAUGACGGCCUUCGGGUUGUAAACCUCUUUCAGCAGGGAAGAAGCGAAAGUGACGGUACCUGCAGAAGAAGCACCGGCUAACUACGUGCCAGCAGCCGCGGUAAUACGUAGGGUGCAAGCGUUGUCCGGAUUUAUUGGGCGUAAAGAGCUCGUAGGCGGUUAGUCACGUCGGAUGUGAAAACCCAAGGCUUAACCUUGGGCCUGCAUUCGAUACGGGCUGACUAGAGUGUUGUAGGGGAGACUGGAACUCCUGGUGUAGCGGUGAAAUGCGCAGAUAUCAGGAAGAACACCGGUGGCGAAGGCGGGUCUCUGGGCAACUACUGACGCUGAGGAGCGAAAGCGUGGGGAGCAAACAGGAUUAGAUACCCCGGUAGUC